This 484-nucleotide ribosomal RNA is filed under the name uncultured bacterium. RNAcentral's name for it is "partial 16S ribosomal RNA". It matches the Rfam family "Bacterial small subunit ribosomal RNA", at positions 29 to 507 of the family's 1533-position model. The record is from RNAcentral.
AUUGAACGCUGGCGGCAUGCUUUACACGUGCAAGUCGAACGGCAGCGCGGGCUUCGGCCUGGCGGCGAGUGGCGAACGGGCGAGUAAUACAUCGGAACGUGCCCAGUAGUGGGGGAUAGCUCGGCGAAAGCCGGAUUAAUACCGCAUACGACCUGAGGGUGAAAGCGGGGGAUCUUCGGACCUCGCGCUAUUGGAGCGGCCGAUGGCAGAUUAGCUAGUUGGUGGGGUAAAGGCCUACCAAGGCGACGAUCUGUAGCUGGUCUGAGAGGACGACCAGCCACACUGGGACUGAGACACGGCCCAGACUCCUACGGGAGGCAGCAGUGGGGAAUUUUGGACAAUGGGCGAAAGCCUGAUCCAGCAAUGCCGCGUGUGUGAUGAAGGCCUUCGGGUUGUAAAGCACUUUUGGCGGGAACGAAAAGGACUGUGCCAAUACCACGGUUCGAUGGCGGUACCCGCAGAAUAAGCACCGGCUAACUACGUG